AACUGUUACAGCUCAUUCAGAAUUUGUCUAGAAGGUUUUCCAGUUUCUACCAAAAGACUCCC
This is a small nuclear RNA of Otolemur garnettii (small-eared galago), 62 nucleotides long. Its record names the gene U7. It matches the Rfam family "U7 small nuclear RNA". From Rfam's summary of the family: Animal histone pre-mRNAs are spliced by a different mechanism than nuclear pre-mRNAs and self-splicing introns. This processing involves the U7 snRNP, which contains only one RNA species: U7. NCBI's taxonomy places the organism in Eukaryota, Metazoa, Chordata, Mammalia, Primates, Galagidae. The record is from Ensembl.